GACGUAGGCGGCAAGCGUUAUCCGGAAUUAUUGGGCGUAAAGCGUACGUAGGCGGCUUGGCAAGUCUGGGGUAAAAAGCCAUGGCUCAACUGUAGGAAGGCCCUGGAAACUGCCCGGCUAGAGUGUGGUAGAGGUUGCCGGAAUUCCCUGUGUAGCGGUGAAAUGCGUAGAGAUCGGGAAGAACACCUGAGGCGGAAGCGGGCAACUGGGCCUCAACUGACGCUGAGGUACGAAAGCUAGGGGAGCGAAUGGG
Molecule: ribosomal RNA, 253 nt
Filed under: uncultured bacterium
Lineage: Bacteria
Description: partial 16S ribosomal RNA
Rfam family: Bacterial small subunit ribosomal RNA
Source: RNAcentral